GAGUUUGAUCAUGGCUCAGAUUGAACGCUGGCGGCAUGCUUUACACAUGCAAGUCGAACGGCAGCACGAGUGCUUGCACUUGGUGGCGAGUGGCGAACGGGUGAGUAAUGCAUUGGAACGUGCCUUGUAUUGGGGGAUAACUGAGCGAAAGCUUAGCUAAUACCGCAUACGCCCUGAGGGGGAAAGCUGGGGAUCGUUUGACCUGGCGAUAUAAGAGCGGCCAAUGUCUGAUUAGCUAGUUGGUGAGGUAAAGGCUUACCAAGGCGACGACCAGUAGCGGGUCUGAGAGGAUGAUCCGCCACACUGGGACUGAGAGACGGCCCAGACUCCUACGGGAGGCAGCAGUGGGGAAUUUUGGACAAUGGGGGGAACCCUGAUCCAGCCAUGCCGCGUGUCUGAAGAAGGCCUUCGGGUUGUAAAGGACUUUUGUUGGGGAGCAAAGGUAUCUGGUUAAGAGCUGGAGAUUAUGAGA
Molecule: ribosomal RNA, 472 nt
Filed under: Aquaspirillum sp. canine oral taxon 091
Lineage: Bacteria; Pseudomonadati; Pseudomonadota; Betaproteobacteria; Neisseriales; Aquaspirillaceae
Description: bacterial SSU rRNA
Rfam family: Bacterial small subunit ribosomal RNA
Source: RNAcentral